CAACGACACCUGAAGACUCACACAAAAUCAAUUUUCGAUAGACCAGAACGAGCGGAAUCGCGCGAAACUAUUUCAGAUGAGGAUGCUCGUUCAAAGGAAAACGCAUCAGAUCGCAGCUCAGCCAUAGCUCGUAAAUCCGAUAAAGAGAGUCCCUACAUCGGUAGGCUUCAACCGUUUCAGUGCAAUGUGUGCUAGAGAGUGCAAAACUGCCAAAAACUUACAAUAUCAUAUGAGAGCUGUGCACGGUCCAAAAAAUCAUGUUUGCCUUACCUGUGGAGUUCGAUUCACUAAACGAAACAAUUUGAAUAUGCAUCUUCUCACCAGGAAUCAUUUGAACAUGUUAAUUAAAAAUUCGCUUCAGAACCAACUGUCGGUUACUAUAAAGGAGGAUGUUGACGAGCAAAUAACAUCCACAAAACCAAAGAAAACUCAAACUGCAUCUCUGGAAAAAUCGGCAAUGGACGAAAUGUCACAUUCUCCCGGAACAAAAAUCGAAAAUGACAUCGGUCAAAAAGAAAGCAGCGCGCCCGUUGAGAACAGUAUGGAUUCCGAAGGACGUGCCUCAACUGCUUCAAAUGCAACUGAUCAAGAGGGAUAUCUUUGCUUGAUUUGCAACCGAUCGUUCAAUCGACAAAGUAAGCUGACUAACCACAGAAGAGUUCAUGAAGAGCCGCCCUCAAGUGUCGGAGAGGAUUAAGAAUAAUCCUUUAUUGUUUAAUAUGCAAACUCUUCUUCACUGUUAUUGAAAGCUUAUCAGCAAAGCUCGAGCAUUUAAUGCAAUUCAUUCAUUUCCGUGCGUAGGAACGUGUAUGCCAGCUUACAUUUGGUAAGUGUAAUAAACGUUCUGAACUGUU
Molecule: long non-coding RNA, 854 nt
Organism: Aedes albopictus (Asian tiger mosquito)
Lineage: Eukaryota; Metazoa; Arthropoda; Insecta; Diptera; Culicidae
Exons: 2
Source: RefSeq, a predicted model, not a curated record